This 436-nucleotide ribosomal RNA is filed under the name uncultured bacterium. Its description in RNAcentral is "bacterial SSU rRNA". It matches the Rfam family "Bacterial small subunit ribosomal RNA", at positions 8 to 449 of the family's 1533-position model. The record is from RNAcentral.
AGAGUUUGAUCCUGGCUCAGAGCGAACGCUGGCGGCGUGCUUAACACAUGCAAGUCGCACGGUUGGGGGAAACUCCGGCAGUGGCGGACGGGUGAGUAACGCGUAGGCAUCUAUCCAAUGGUGGGGGACAACCGCGGGAAACUGCGGCUAAUACCGCAUGAUGACUUUAGCCUGAGAGGUUGAGGUCCAAAGCUUGCAAGAGCGCCGAUGGAGGAGCCUGCGUCCGAUUAGCUUGUUGGUGGGGUAACGGCCCACCAAGGCGACGACGGGUAGCCGGCCUGAGAGGGCGACCGGCCACACUGGGACUGAGACACGGCCCAGACUCCUACGGGAGGCAGCAGUGGGGAAUAUUGCACAAUGGGCGAAAGCCUGAUGCAGCGACGCCGCGUGAGGGAUGACGGCCUUCGGGUUGUAAACCUCUUUCAGCAGGGAAGAA